CCUACGGGAGGCAGCAGUAAGGAAUAUUGGUCAAUGGAGGCAAGUCUGACCCAGCCAUGCCGCGUGCAGGAUGACGGCCCUCUGGGUUGUAAACUGCUUUUAUACAGGAAUAAACCUACCUACGUGUACAUAGCUGACUGUACCGUACGAAUAAGGAUCGGCUAACUCCGUGCCAGCAGCCGCGGUAAUA
This 190-nucleotide ribosomal RNA is filed under the name uncultured bacterium. RNAcentral's name for it is "partial 16S ribosomal RNA". It matches the Rfam family "Bacterial small subunit ribosomal RNA", at positions 338 to 525 of the family's 1533-position model. The record is from RNAcentral.